This 21701-nucleotide long non-coding RNA is filed under the name Triticum aestivum (bread wheat). RNAcentral describes it as "long non-coding RNA (TAES_LNC017113)". The record is from RNAcentral. Lineage: Eukaryota; Viridiplantae; Streptophyta; Magnoliopsida; Poales; Poaceae.
GGGACUUGAAUGGAAUACACGUUAUGAAAUAAUUAGAGGCAUUUGUGAAGGUUUGCAUCAUCUGCACAAGGAAAAGCAGAUAUAUCAUAUGGAUCUGAAACCUGAGAAUAUACUACUUGAUAAGGAUAUGGUGCCGAAAAUAACAGAUUUUGGUUUAUCGAGACUUGAUGAGAAGUCAAAAACCAUGAGUGAAGACCGUCAUGGAUCACCGUAAGCUAUGCAUUAAAGAACAUGUUUCUUUGCAUUUACCCUGACAUUUUCUGAUGCUAUAAUGCAUUAAAAUACCAUCCUUCUAUGCAGCGGAUAUUGUGCUCCAGAAUACCUACAUCGGGGAAAGAUGUCAUUCAAAUCAGACAUGUAUAGUUUAGGCGUUAUUAUCAUGGAAUUACUGACAGGAGAAAAGGCAAUCCACAGUAAUAAUAACAAUGUAAGAGUGUUUUACCUUGCCGCACAUAUAAUCUCUUUCUAGAAAUACCCUAGCAUUGUGCCUUGCGUAUAUGUUACAUUGUUUGAGGUAUUGCAUGGCAUAUUUAGUCACAUAACACAUAUAUGAAGAGAAGGAUUAGCUAUGCGCUGGUCUGGAAAGUAAACGCUUUCUCAAGUGUCGAUAUUGAGUUCCUUAUCACUCAUACCACAGUUUUACAAAUUGAUUCCAAUGGAUGGAACUUUCAUGUGAUGGCUUGAAAUAUUGACAUUUCAUCCAAGUGGCACCAGGUCAUCAUGGCCCUGUCGAUCCUCCUUAGAGCACUCUCUUUCUCUCCCUCGCGCUCCAUAUUGUAUAGUCCGAGCUAAGUUAAUAAUUUCGUGUGACCUUGACAGGUUUAGGAAUACUGACACAUAUUAUUUAUCCACAACAGAAAUUACUAGUCGGAUUUCUUUUCUCCUAGGGCACACAAGGAGUGGACAUUGAUCUGUUAUUGCGUAUUUCUUUAGAAUUUUUUUGACUUUCUACAUGUCAUAUUUUGUGGAAUGACAGGUGCUUAGGAGAUGGAGGCAUAGAUGGAAGAAAACAGGGAAGGAAACACUGUUGGUUUACGAACAAGUAGCAAAAUGCGUUGAAAUUGGGUUACUCUGCCUGGAAAUUGACCCAUCCAAACGGCCUUUUAUAUGGGAUAUCAUACAUGCUAUCAGAGAAAUGGAAGGCGUUAAUGGGACAAUCAGCAAUCACUCUGAAUAUACGUUUGGACAGGUAAGCUCGUGUGCUCCCUGAGACGUAUUAGUUCGCUAUAUACUACUCUCUCCAGUUGUUACAGCCCAACCUGGGCAGUUGCCCUGGCUCUGGUGUGGAUCUGCCAUUCAAUCCACUGCAGGAAAUGAAGAGCUAAUGAAUAUUUUCCAUGGGAAAAAUCGGCCAGAAGCUCUUGUGCUUUGCCGAGGCUCGCUCAUCGAGCUGGCUCCGACACUAGUUAUGUGAUACAUAUAUCAUUGUCUAAAAAAUGUAAUACAUAUUUGUUCUGCUCUUUUCUUGCAGUUAAACCCUUACUCGAAGGACGAUAUGCUUGGAAUUGAGCCGCUCGAUCUACAUUUUCCUUUCCAACUUAACAAAAAGUCGUCUUGCACCUUUCAACUAACCAAUGAAACAGACUCUUACAUUGCCUUCAACGUCGAACAUAUGAACCCCCUGUCAUACUGUGCACUGCCACAGAAAGGCAUUAUACCGCCACGAUCCAAGUGUAAUGUCGAAAUAACAAUGGAACCACAGGGCAAGGCACUGAGAGAUCGUACCAGCGAAUUUACUGUGUGGAGCACCAAAGUUAAUGAUGGCCUUACCAUUGAGGAUAUAACUACAAGCAUGUUCAUUCAAGAGGCAACGAAUGUUGUGGAUGAGGUGAAUUUGGAUGUGGUUUUUGAUGCCAGUGAGGUGAGAUGUCUAAGAAUACCAACUUGCUAAGCUUUGUCUAUUUAAUUAGUGUCCAGCGCAAAUGAUCUUUGUUUGUAGUUAGAGCGCCCAACUAAUAACUAUCCAGAUCAAGUUGAUUUUUUUAAUUAUUUGAUACCAAAGUAUAAUCUGUAGUCCUAUUAUAUGUAGAUUAUGUCUUACACUUCUUUCCCUUUUUAUUUUCGUGAAGUAACAUAUUAAGUCCACACAAAAAAUUUAACUGUUUUUGAGAAGUAAGAUUUGUUUUGUUGAUAAGUCUCACUAGUUGUGUGUGUGCUUGGACACAUGAUACAACCACCUAGCUAGACUAUGGUGAGAUCACUAUACUAAUAGAGGAAACUUUCCUGUGAAGCCACGUCUAGUUAUUGGCCAGUAUAAAUGAGACUUGUGUGUGACUAGAGGAUAUUGCAUGCAGUACAAUGAGUGGACUGAUUAGGUCCCACAGCCUUUCCUGUUCUUUAAUGCGUCGGCUUGCUAAAUGUUCCAAACAAAUUUGUAGGCAUGUAUGGUUGCUGGAAGAACGCCCGAUGUUAAACCAAGAAUAACGGAUGGAUGUGAAAAGUUGAAGAACUGGAAGCUGGUCGACAUUUUUGAUCCAGGACAUCUUCAGGCAUGGCAUUGUCCAGAUUCAGCAACAUAUCCAACGAAAGUAUGUUCGUGAAGUUGCAUAAUUAUCUUUAGAUAUCUGUACGUUUUAUUGAGUUAUAAAUAUCGAGCAUGUAAUUCAACUUAAACAUACAAUCUGUUCUUUUUUUAACAUAUAGAAAAGGGUAGCCAUAUUGUCUGUCUGAGCCUGUGUUAUUAUUUCAUAAAGGUCUAUUUUGACCCUCAGUUUAUGGCGGCAUUUUCAUGUAUUCUUUAGUUUUUUGUUAUAUAAUUGGCAGUCCAGUAGUAUUCAAGCAAUUUUGUUUAUGCUCUUGGCAAUGUAAAAUUUCUGAUGAAUCACGUUUUAUUUGUUUCCUUAACAGGUUGUCCGUUUGUUAUAUACAAAUUAUGGGACUGCACUUUUAUCUCUCGGUUCGGAUGGUGUUCAUAAGCUGUGGAAAUGGAAGCGCAGUGACAGGAAUCAUAAACUCAAGGUAGAAUGAAGAAUUGUAUUUGUUUGGAUUUCUCGAAUACGCAGGAGUGCACACACUUUAUAUUAAAGGAGGAGAUGGGGGAAAAGAGCCCCUCCACGUUGGUGUUACAUAUUAAAUGAAACCAACUCCACCCACAUAACACCUAAAGCCUAACUUCUCUCGGUAGCCCACGUUGCCAACGCCCCUAGGAAGGUGUUCACCACUCAUUUAAGGAUCCCGACAUGUUUCCACGUUCUUCCCUCCCCCUCCAUCCUAGUAAUUACAUGGUCCUUCGAUGAGGUUGCCCCAUCGAACACAAUUGCAUUGCGGUGUUUCCACAGCUCCCACAUGACGGGGUAUUUAUUUGGAUUUCAGUUGCAAUCUUUUUGUGAUUGCCUUCUAAAUUAUCUUUACUGUCUUUUGUUAGUCUACUGCAUCUGUUUCGCCUCACCUGUGGCAACCAGAAAGUGGGCUUGUUAUGGUAAAUUACGCAAGUGAUGGCAUCCCGAAAGAAAAACCUGCCUGCAUUGUGGUGUCCAAAAAUGACUUCUAUGUAGUGUCUGCAUCUGGUGGCGAAAUCUCACUAUACAAUAUGAGGACGUUCAAGGUAAAUGGCUUCUCCAGCAACCAUAACUUCAUAUAACAAGAACCAUAAUUGUGUUACUACCUUUUUCCGACUUUCCUGAAUAGAUAUGUGGAAUUUGCCACAGGUCAUGGCUACGUUCAUGGCACCUCCACCUGCUGCGACUUUCCUCGCAUUCUACCCACACAACAAUAAUAUUAUUGCUAUAGGACUGGAGGACUCGACGAUUCAAAUCUACGAUAUCCAUUCUGAUGAGGUGUGUGUUUCCUAUAACCUCUUGCUUCGCCCUACUUGAUGUAUCAGAGAUUUAACUUAGGGUGUAUUUAGUAUUAGCCCACCAAAAAAUUGGUUUGUCCAAAUUCUGUUCACGGUAUUGGUUGCCCAUGAUUUGUCCAAUGUGGGCAAGCAAAAUGAACUUGGGUGGACAAAUGAAAAAGGGCAUGCCAAAUUAUUGACAACCAUCCAAACAUGGUCCAAAAUUUUGGUAACGUAGAUUUCGUACAUAAACCAAACAUAACCUUACAAUUUCUACCGAUCAGAUAUUUCAACGAACACUUCUAAAUGGUGUUAGUCUGGUAAUAUUGAUUCCUUCCAUGUUGAAUUUGCACUUAAUAUUUGUUUAUUUUGCACUAAAUCUUUAUUUGAAAGCCAUGUACUAAUGUUAACUCAAGAAAAUUACUUAGGUCAAAAGCAAGCUCAAGGGUCAUCAAAAAAAGAUUACUGGGCUGGCAUUUUCUCUAUCAAUGAAUGUUCUUGUAUCUUCAGGUGCUGAUGCUCAGGUACGAACUUAUUAUGUUAUAAAUUAUUCUACUGGUUAAAUGUACAAAUCACUAGGCGGAAACAGUUCAAUUCACAUUACUCACAUGCCAGGCCAUUUAUUAGUCUGUUUAUUAUAGUUUAUAUGCAAUUUUGCAGCUAUGCAUCUGGAGCAUUGAUGGUUGGGACAAGAAGAAAUCAAAAUAUAUUCAACCCCCGGCAAAUCAUUCCCGUGCUUUAGUUGGCGAUACAAGUGUGCAGUUUCACAAUGACCAAACACAUCUUCUGGUAGUUCAACAGAGCCAAUUGUCAAUCUAUGAUGAAAAUCUUGAGUGCUUGCGCUCGGUAAGUCAUCACCAAAAUUUCUUAUUUUUGUAUCUGCUCAUCGCUUUCCAUGUUCAUAUUGUUUCUUACCCUAGGUUUUUACACCAUACCACUGCAUGUUAUUGCUAAAUAUUUUUGAAUUAUACACAUUUGCUUCUUCUUUAUGAAUUAUUGUUACUGCCUAUGAUGAUCAUCUUGAUUGACCCCUCUGUUACUUGAUAAUGCAGUGGAACCCAAGAGAUGCACUGACAGCUCCAGUUUCGAGUGCAAUAUACUCUUGUGAUGGUCUCCUGGUUUAUGCUGGUUUCUGUGAUGGUGCUAUUGGAGUAUUUGAAACAGGGUCUCUUAGGUUGCGUUGCAGGAUUUUACUUUCUGCUUAUGUGCCUUCUUCAAUAUCUAGGUAUGCCCAGUGUCACCAACAUUUUUUUUUAAAUACAUGACGUUUUCCGCCGGGUCGCGAGCCGUCGGAUCCGCGUCAUCGAUCAGCUGAGGGGCAUCCUUCAUCAUUGCAACAUAACUAAUGUUGCAGAAAACUUUGCCACAAAGGUCGUCUUGCAGAAAAUCUUUGCAACAAAGACCGUGUUGCAAAAUUGUUUUUUUUCAAAAAUAGAUCAUGUUGCGGAAAACCACCUCGCCCCGCGCAUUGCAACAACAAUUAUGUUUCAGAAACAUAACCUUUGUUGUAAUUCAUGGGAUUCCAAUUGAGAGAGAAUCGAAAGGAGAGAGCACACAUUGUAACAAUGAUCAUGUUUCAGAAACAUCAUCAAUGUUGCAGUUCAUCAAAUCCCAAUUGGCAGACAGUUAGUGGAGAGCGCACCAUGGAAGCUUUGGUGGGAGCUCGUGUGUUGAGAGGGAGGGAGAGAGACAGAGGGGUAAGGAGAGAGGAGGAGGGAAUGAGAAAGGAGCUGGCGAGGACGAUGCAGGUCGGUAGCAGUUCUAUUCGUGGUGGCUCCAUUACGGUACUCCCUCCAUUCCCUUAUACAAGGCCACAAACUCAUAUUACAGGUACCAAGAUAAAAUUUAAUGAGUGAGAAGAGAGAGUCUCUAAGGAGGUAGAUGAAGAGAUGGUAAUGAGUGGCUGAGACGGAUUGAGUCUUUGAGAAAGAAAUAAGGGAUGAGGAUGAAGGUGGUGUGUGGACCCCGUAAGGGCACAUGCUUGGAUCUUGCCUCAUCCAACGACGCACCGAGCGGCGUCUCAAAUAAGCAGAUCACUCGGCUGAAUAUUUUUUUAAAGGAGGAAUACCUCCGACCUCUGCAUGAGUUGAUGCAUGCAGGCACAGGAUCACUCGGCUGAUGCUAAUCUUUUCCCUUAUCUUAUUCUCUUUGUUAGGUAAUCCAAAGAGUACCAUGUUUAGUUUUGGUAGUUUUACUAGGAAGUGAUCACGUAUGUCGUAUGUGGUGUUUGAGUCUGGUUAGGAUUAGUAAAGGGUGAUCAGCGUUGCCGGUUGAUUAGAUUAGGAAAGUGUAGGGUGAGUCGGUCAGCCCUUUCCAUGUGCUAGCUUAGUACUAGUCCGCGUAGGUGUAGUGUCCAAGUUGUGUCCGUGUUGUUAGCUCAUAGUGUCCUGGUUAGACUCGUUGUUGGCUAUGCGUGCAGCUGGCCUGAACAUCUAUAUAUACAAGCACAGGGCCUGCGAGAUUUGUACUGGAAAAAUAGAAAUAAAGAGAAAAAAGGCACGAUACUCACCGUUGGCUAUCAAUUUUUUUGUGUACGUGUUCGUGGUAUUUUGAUGUGAUUGAUCCUAUGGGCAAGUUUCAACACAUGACAUUUUUGCUUCUUAUUCCAAGUGACCAUUAUCUUAUUCUCCUUGUUACAUCUUCUCCAACAGCGGGGGAAGUGUGUACCCGAUGGUUGUAGCCGCACAUCCCUUGGAGCCUAACCAGAUUGCAGUUGGCAUGAGUGACGGGGAAGUUCAUGUGCUGGAGCCACUGAAAGCGGACCGAAAGUGGGGAGUUGCGCAUCCCCAGGAUAACGGAGCCCACCCAAACUUUGGAGACUUAUUUGAUGAUUUUUUUCUGGAGGAUUUUUUUAACGAGGUGUAACGGUCAGGUUUCGAAAACGAUUUGAUUUUUCUUGUCAAACUUGCCAUGAUGCGUGACACAAGGUGUUUCAGCUCGAGCUCAUACGAGCUCGGGUGACAGUAAAAUCCAAACAAAAUCAUUAAAAAUACUGAUUUUUUUUUCUUUGUGGCAAACAUUGAAAAAUGUUUGAUUGUUGGCAAAGUGUAGUCAUGGAAUGACAUUUCUAGAGGUAAUGUAAAAAAUGAUACUUCAAAAAUGCCAUUUUCAAAACAUUUGUCAAUGUUUGCCACCAAGAAAAUUAAGUUUUUUUUAUUAAUUUUUGAAUAUUUCAGGAUUUUACAGUUCAUAUCAAAUCAUAUAAGCUUAAGUAGAGAUGAGGACUUUCCUAUCAUGCAGCUGUUUGCUAAGAUGGUUUUCUUUGGAUGAACAUUUUGUUGAAAAUAUGAGCAAGUUACUACGAGAUUUAAUCCGAAUAAACAUAAAAUAAAUCAUGACAGCGAUAACAGAGAUUGAAUCAAUCAUGCAGACCAGCAUAGUAGAUGAACUAAUCAGGUUUGGAAGCCUGGGCGCGCCACGGGGUGCCUGAUGCACACUGUUGGGUUGUGAUCACUGUGGGCCCCCGUUUGCGUUGAUUCCAAAUCCCAAAAAUCACAUAUAUUUUAAAAUAAUUCUCCGUAAAUUUUCAUCGCGUUUUUACUUCGUUUAAUAUGGAUUUUCUGCAAAACAAAAACAUGCAACAAACGGGAACCGGCACUGGGCACUGAAUCAAUAGGUUACUCCAAUAAAUCAUAUAAAUUGUUGCCAAAAAUAUGUAAAAGUUGUAUAAUACUGGCAUGAAACAAUAAAAAUUUAUAGAUACGACGGAGACGUAUCAGCAUCCUCAAGUUUAAUUCCUGCUCGUCCUCGAGUAGGUAAAUGAUAAAAAGAUAACUUUUUGUGUGGAAUGCUAUCUAGCAUAAACUUGAUAAUAUAUCUAAUCAUGGCAUGCAUAUUAAGACAUAAGUGAUUCAAAGCAAUAGUCUAUAAUUUGACAUAAAGACAUUAAUACUCAGGCAUCCCAACAAACAAUCAUGUCUUUCAAAAUAUCAACGCUAACGAAAGCUAUCCCUACAAAAUCAUAUAGUCUUGUCAUGCUCCGUCUUCUUAACACAAAGUAUUUAUCAUGCACAACCCCGAUGACAAGCCGAGCAAUUGGUACAUGCUUUUUAACGCGCUUCAGAUUUUUCAGCCCUCACGCAAUACAUGAGCGCGAGCCAUGGAUAUAGCACUAGGGUGGAAUAGAGUAUGAUGAUAGAGGUAAAUAUAGAGAAGACAAAAAGUAAGAAAGUCUCACAUAGAGUAUGAUGUAGCUAACCAACGGGCUAUGAAGAUGCCCAUCAAUCAAUAUCAAUGCGAGGAGUAGGGAUUGUCAUGCAACGGAUGCACUAAGAGCUAUAAGUGUAUAAAAGUUCAAUAUGAAAACUAAGUGGGUGUGCAUUCAACUUGCUUGCUCAUGAAGACCUCGGACAUUUGAGGAAGCCCAUCAUCGGAAUAUACAAGCCAAGUUCUAAAAUGAAAUAUUUCCACUAGUAUAUGAAAGUGACUAAAUAGGAGACUCUCUAUAUAUAUAAAAAAUGGUGCUACUUUGAAACGCAAGUGUGGAAUUAGCAUUCCCCUUCUCUCUUUGUGUUUAUUCUUUUUUAUCUUUUUUAUUUUUUUCUCUCAUUGUACGGAGUCUCAUCCCAACUUGUGAGGAAAUCAUAGUCUCCAUCAUCCUUUCCUCACUGGGGCAAUGCUCUAAAAAUGAAUAAUAAUGAUUAUCACACUUCUAUUUACUUAUAACUCAAAAGAAUAAAAAAAUUACAACUCGAUACCUAGAACAAAAUAUGACUCUAUAUGAACGCCUCUGGCAGUGUACCAGGAUGUACAAUGAUCUAGCAUAACAAUGAUAUCAAAAAAAGUACAAGCCAUGGAAAUAUUGUGCUAGCUAUCUUACGAUCAUGCAAAGCAAUAUGACAAUGAAUGCUCAAGUCAUCAAGAUGGAAGCGGUGGAAGUUGCAUGGCAAUAUAUCUAGGAAUGACUAUACAAAGGCCAUAAUAGGUAUGUAUGGUGGCUGUUUUGAAAAAGAUAUAAUAAGGCUUAUGUGUGAUAGAGCGUAUCAUAUCACGGGAUUUGGAUGCACCGGCGAAGUUUGCACCGACUCUCGAGGUGAGAAAGGGCAAUGCACGGUACCAUAGAGGCUAGAAAAUUGUGAAAAGGUAAUUAAGAGUGUGUAUAUAAUCCAUGGACUCACGUUAGUCAUAAAGAACUCAUAUACUUAUUGCAAAAGUUUAUUAGCCCUCGAAGCAAAGUACUACUACGCAUGCCCCUAGGUGGAUAGAUUGGUAGGAAAAGACCAUCGCUCGUCCCCGAUCGUCACUCAUAAGGAAGACAAUCAAUAAUAAAUCAUGCUCCAACUUCAUACCAUAACGAGAGACCAUACGUGCAUGCUUAGGGAAUCACAAACCUUAACACUAAUAUUCUUACUAACCACAACCAUUUUAUAGUACCUCUCACAUAUUCCAUCUCUAUAUCGCAAAACUAUUGCAAGGAAUCAAACAUAUCAUAUUCAGUGAUCCACAAGUUUUAUGUAGGAUUUUAUGACUAACCAUGCAAUUGACCAAUUCAUGUUGACUCUCUAAAUAGAUAUAAGUGAAGCAUGAGAGUUUAAUUCUUCUACAAAAGACCAUGCUCUAAUAAGUAUAAGUGAAGCAAAAGAGCAUUCUACAAACAACGGUUUUCUAUGUGAAGAGAAACCUGCAAUCCAAACUUCAAAUGAUAUAAGUGAAGCACGUGAAGCAUUCCAUAAACCCAUACUCAAAAGAUAUAAGUGAAGUGCACUGAGCCUUCUAUAAAUCAACCAUGGACUAUCUCAUACCAACAUGAUGCAUAAAAGAAAAAUGAAAACUGAACACAAAAGACACUCCAAGAUUUACGCAUCUCACAUGAACGAAACAGAGACGAAAACAUACCGAUACCUGUUGAAGAAAGAUGGGAUGCCUUCCGUGGCAUCCCCAAGCUUAGACGCUAGAGUCUCCUUGAAUAUUUACUUGGGGUGUCUUGGGCAGCUCCAAGCUUGAGCUCUUUCCUCUCCUCCUUCUCCUCAUAUCGAGACCUCCUCGAUCUUUGAUCACUUCAUCCACACAAAACUCAACAGAAAGCUCGGUAAGAUCCAUUAGUAUAAUAAAGAAAAUCACUACUCUAAGUAUUAUUGCAAACCAAUUCAUAUUUUGUUUUUGCAUUGUAGCUACUGUAAUAUAACUUUUCCAUGGCUUAUACCACCGAUAGAAUCGAUAGUUUCAUGGCUUAUCCCAUUCCAUGCAAGACGCUAUGUCUUGGAGAUGAUGGGUUUUGAAGAUCAUGAGAGGAAUGAAACAAAGAAAAUUCACCUAAGGACCCAUCAUGGUAUGUAUUUUGAGGUAAAUCUAUACAAUUCUGAGAGCAUAUCCAAUUUUGGUUGCCCGGAUUGGGAAGCACUUUGCAAGAUGUAUGAUUUUUAAGAGGGUAUGUUUGUCACCAUGGAUCUUGGUGAUCCUGACAUCGAGGUAGACAAUUUGGACAUUGGGUCCUUGUUGAUACGCUUCCAAUUCUACCGCUAUGUGAGUUUCUCAAACAUAAUCAUUAAGUAAUUUAUAUUGUUUAUUUCAAAAUAGUUGACAGCUUAUUUUCAUUCUUCAAAGAAUGUGCGGAAGAUGGUAGACAGAACUUACUACACCGAUGGCUCUGAGUUAACUUAUCAGGAGAAAAAUCAUCUGGUCGCAUUUUGUAUUGAUCUUGAGAAUUACAACGUCUAUUAUCAAACUCCUCCACAUUAUGGUCAAUAUGUGCCACUAGUGCACGUGUUGAACUAUGCUAACAUCCAUGGAGAUCACCUGGUAAGAUUUUUAAGUAUUACGACAUCUGUGCAUAUUUUGCAUAAAUUCUUCUAAAACUGAACUACAUUGCUAACUACGAAGUUAUUACUAUAUUUUUCAACAGAUAAUCCCGCAGGAGUGUGUGCCUCAUCUGAGGUUUCCGAAAGGUCGCCUUGAUGUUUUGAAUAUACAGCCAAGUCAUCCAACGAAUCACUCCUGUUCAUAUCGGAUUUCUAAAUGCAAUGAAGACAUGACCAUCAAAGAUUGGAACAAAUGUAUGGCCACUCGUAAGGAGGUACUUGGAAGCAACAUUAGGCGAAGUGCAAGAAUUGGAGACAGGAUAAUCUCCAUUCUCCAUAAUGGAGAGUUAGGGUCUAUCUUGUUUUAUGCUACUUUACCUAAGAGAAGGUAGUAGGUUGUAGCUAAUACUCAUGAUCAUGUGCGAUCAUGUGCUAAGAACAACUAAGUAGGAUUGGUUAGAUGACUAUGAUGAUGAUGUGGUAUCGAGUAGAAGUUGUAUGAUCAAUGAUGAUGAGUAUGACUUGUUGUUAUGAUACCAAUGAUGAGUUAUUUAUUAUUAUGAUCGAUGAUGCAUGAUGCUAAGUUGUAUGAGCAUGAUGAGUUAUUAUAUAUAUCAUUAGGUGAAAUGAACAUGGAAUAGAUUCAAGUGGAGGCAGCAUGUGGUGCACAUCGAAACUACUACUAAUCCAAACUAGAUCAAGUUUGGAUUAAUAGUACUUACGACAUGCACCACAUGUUGCCUCCACUUGAAUCUACUCCACGUUCAUUUCACGCACUGUUAUAUAUAAUAACUAAUCAUGGUCAUAAAAUCAUAUGAUGAAAGUACUAUAUAUAAAACCACAACGAAAAUAAGCUGCAAUUUAAAAAAUAGAGGAAAAGCUAGUAGUAGCGCUUUUCUAUAGAAACGCUAUUGCUACUUACAACUAUCAGCAGCACUUUUUCAGCACGAGCGCUACUGCUAACUAGGUAUAGCAAUAACGCUGGCGUUCCAGCGCUACUGCUAAGAGUUAGCUUUAGCGCCUUAGUAGUAGCGCUGGCACAAGUGCUACUAGUAGCUCUAAAACCAGCGCUGCUACUAGGGCUUUCCCUAGUAGUGAAGAACAAGGCGGCGGACGGCUCCUCUAAGUUGUCGAGGAAGAAGCCUGCAGGGCAUGCGACGGACGCGGCGGCUACCGAAGCGCCGGCGAGCUCACUUGCUGAGUCGGCGGCCGACGCGCACAAGGUGUUCGAUGAAAUGCCCCAAAGGUAUAAAAUUUCGCCAACAUUUUGUUGUUGUUGUUUUUUGUAUGAAGACAUAUGGAUAGCUUAUUUGCUUUGUUAUAUAUACUUUGUAGUUUCAACGAUGAGGCAUAUAUGUCAACUAUGGGUGUUGGCUCCAAGAAUUCUCAUUGGUAUCAAACCAAUGACAUGCAUUUCGAUGAUCAUGAGUUUGAGGUGUAAGAGGAUGGUGAGGGCAUAGUCGACGCACCGAAAGGAAGAGGAGGCAACUACACCAAUGAUGAAUACAUCUUGCUAUGCAAUACUUGGUUGCAAGUGUCGAAGGAUCCCUCUGUUGGAGGUGAUCAAAGUAAAGAUGCAUAUUGGAACCGGAUAAAGGAGCACUUUGAUCUACACAACAAAAGUGGAAUUGACCGCUCGGAGAGAUCUUUUCGCUACCGGUGGCCGAAAAUCAACCGAAAUUGUCAAAGGUGGGCGGCCGCACUUAAGGCGGUUGACAAGUUGAACCCAAGUGGCACUAAUGAUAUAGAUAGGGUAAGUGCCAUUUCUUCCAUGUUCAUCAUGCUUCUUCUUGGUAUUUGUAGUGCUAACUUGUUUUUUUAUGUAGCUCAAUAUUGCACAAAACUUGUUCGACGGAGAGGAGAAGAAGAGCAAGAAAGGGAGACCAUUUACCUUGCAUCAUUGCUAUGAAGCAUUGAAGGAUGAUGAGCAAUGUAAGAAGCGUGAUGAUAUCGAUGAUGUUGAUGAGAGCAACAAACGCAAGCGAACUAUUAAUUUGGAUGAUGAUGAUGAUGAGGUAUCAAGUGAUGACGGCGAGAGAAGCCUACAAAAAACUCGGUUUCAUACUCCAAGCCAAAAAGACCGGAUGGAUGCAAAAAAGACACAAAAGAAAAGAAGAAGAGGGAAUGAGAUGACAAGCUCAACAAUGCUAUGGAAGCUAUUGUGAAGGCAAGAAAGGAAGCGAACGAGGUGAGGAAGAUGGCAAGGAACCAAGAUGCCGCGACCGAGGAGAGGAGGUUGGCGGUCGAGGAGAUGAGGGUGGCGACUGAGGAGAGGAAGGUGGCAUUGGAGGAGAAGAAGGUAGCCAUGGAGGAGCGAGCUCUGUUGUUGGAAUGUGAGAAGUACUUGUUCUUCAUGGACACAUCUACCCUCAAUGAGGCGCAAAAGGUGUAUGUCAAUCUUGCCCGUGAAGAAGUCUUGGUCCAAAAAAGAGUCGUGGUUCGCAGUGGCAUGGGCGGCAUGGGAGGCGGUGGCAUUGGCGGCAUGGGUGGAUGUGGCAUUGGUGCCAUGGGUGGAGGUGGCAUUGGCAGCAUGGGAGGAGGUGGCAUCGGCGGCAUGGGUGGAGGUGGCAUUGGCGGCAUGGGAGGCAUCGUGGCUUCGGAGCUACCAUGGGUGGCAUGGGUGCCAUGGGUGGCUUUGGAGCUACCAUGGAGACCAUGGGAGGCGGGGGUGGCUUCGGAGCUACCAUGGGAGGCAUGAGUUUUUGCGUCUCUCAUGAGAGGCAUGGGAGCACCUCCGGGCGGCAUGGGCGGAAUGUCUUCCGGUGUGCUACACACACCUUCGCAUGAUGACGUUGAAGAUCUUGCCAACACCUUCCGAGCUUCAAAUGAUGAUGCGGCGCGCGACAAUGAAGAGGAGGAAGAAUCGUCUUCGGAUGAUGAAUCGGAGGAAGAGGAAGAGGAAGAUGAAGACGAGGACGAGGCUUGAUUGUUGAUGGGCCAUUCGUUGGCGUGAACUUUUGUGUCAUGAACUUGGUUCGGAUUUUGAACUUGGUUGGAUGAUGUUGUGGGCAUGAACUUUUAUGUCAUGAACUUGUUUGGGUGAUUUAAAUUAUGCCAUGUCUUUGUUUUGAUGUUUGAAAUAUCUCAUCUCGUCUGCAAAAUGCAACAUAUGCCAAGCGCCGGCUGCUCGCGCGCGCUGCUUUUUAGCGCCUACCGGAGCUACUCGCGCACGCUAAACUUUUGUGCAGCCCGUUGGAGCGAGCGCUCCUCGCCGCGCAAAAACAGGCGAUCGGUGCGCUGCAAACGCUUUUUUUGUGUGUCACUUGUUAGGCGGCUGUUGGAGAUGCUCUCAACAACGAAGAAAGAUAGACAAUGGGAGGCCGCCGCCGCUUGGGUCCCACCAAGCCCACUACCACCGCCUCGCCGAGUUGCACAACUGAUGACUUGCCCUGUGAGCAGGGCGUAGACCAGAGCGACUGUCUUUCCCCACCAAAAACCAACCUUGAUAUGUGCCUUGCUGCAUCAUAGGGAGGCUACUCUUUCACUCCCGUUGAAGCAUAUCCCUCCGGGGCUUACGGCUGUCCGAUGAGCGGGCUGCCGGACCAGGGAAGACAUGUAAUGGGAAUGGAGAUCCACCGCAGCCGGCACUAAACAAGUUAAAGCCUAGUCCGCUAGUUAAAAUAUGUGAGAAAUAUAACUACUUUUGUCUGAUUUGUAUGAAAAUUAUCUGGUUUGCAUGAAUUCGCCCAGUUUGUUGACAUACUGUCUGAAAUGUAUGUGACUAGGUUUCGAUGACCGGCUCUUGCAUCCGUGUCUGCGGACUGGUCCGCCAUUGUCAACAGACUGAUGCAGUAUCGGGUUUACGGGUCAGCACUGGAGUUGCCCUAUUAUAUAUUUAUUUACCAGUCUUUUUCUGACGGUAUUGAUCACGUCAAACUAGGGGAACAAACUCGACCAAGAACUUUUCGCCAAGGACUUGUAUGGUGCCCUCUUGAUUUUCCCUUCAUUUCUCAAUUUUCUGAUAUAUAGCCGCACGGCUAUGACUCAAAUACUCUCGAUAAUCCACUUUGGUGCGUGACGUGAUUAAAAAUAGUAAAAAAAUACAAGCAAGAUGCACAGUUUGCACAUUUGAGGAAUGCGCGGCAAAAAAGACAAAACCAUGCAUGAACAGUGUUGUUUUCAAAUGUUUCUCACAGCCCUUUUUUUUUGCCAUAUGAAGUUUUGCAUGAACAUCACACAAUUUAGCAUGUUGCAUCACAAAAAGUUUUAGAUUUUUUUAAUCCCUUUUCCUAUUUUUACGGCCUUACUGUUCAAGCCCGGGCUGAGGACCAAACCGCACUCCAAUACUCUGACUUUUUUUUGACAUAGUAGGAGUAGUACUCACGACACUGACUAAGACACGAACUCAUCUAUAUUAGAGCAUCUACAAUAAAUAAUAUAGAUGUGAAAAUAAUUAGCUUUUACACUUGAGGCCUAAAAAUGCAUCUCCAAUAGAUGAUGCAGGCAUAACAAAAAUACAUCAUUUGCUUCAAAGUGAUGUAAAAUACAACAUUUAGAGAUGCACAUUUGCAUCUCCAUCCCCUAAGGAUGUAAAAAAAGCCACUCGCGCGCCGACGACCUAACUGCCACCCGAUUCGAGCUUCUCGUGCCGCCCCGCCGCCGCCAAUCUGCCGCCCAAUUCGAGCCCCGCCGCAGCAUUUGAAGGGAGAGUCUCGGGCGCCGCAUCGCUCGGCUGCAGAAGCUCGGUCGAUGCCACUAGAUCGGCAGUCGCAUAGCCGUCAUGCCGCUGUUGUACUAGUUUACAUCUUCAAAUACAUCAUCUGUUGGAGUAGUAGUUUUACAUUACGAAACUGCUCCACACACGACACUGCAGUGCCCGAUCUGUGCACGACCAGCAUACAGCGGUCAGUGCCCUUUCAAUCCUAGGCAUGUCUGGCUGGAUGUAAUUGUCGUGCAUGAAUCGUCUGUUGUUUCAUCGUUCGCAUAGCAUUACUCUUUACAUUAACAAAUACACAUCACUUGUCGGAGUUGAGAAUUUUUGGGAGAUAUAUGAAGCAUGUUUUGGUGAUGUAAAUUAUACAACACCUACUUUUACAUCCCCAAAUAUAUACAUAAUCUAUUGAAGAUGGUCUUAGAUUGAAAAUCAGAACGACCACUGCUAGCUUGAUCAUGCUUAUACUAAUCCUUAGUUCCUUACUGAGCUCAAUUAGAAACCUACACUAACCAGUAAUGUGUUGGUAUUACUCUAACAGCCUCUGAGUCAAGUCAAGUCAAGUCAACUUUGUAUAUAACAGCCUAUAGGUUCGAGAACUAUGUAGACAUGACCGAUACACCUCUCCGGUCAAUAACCAAUAGCGGAACUUGGAUGCUCAUAUUGGUUCUCACAUAUUCUACAAAAAUCUUUAUCGGUCGAACCGCUAUGUCAAUAUACGUUAUUCCCUUUGUCAUCGGUAUGCUAUUUGCCCAAGAUUCGAUCGUCGAUAUCUUCAUACCUAAUUCAAUCUCGUUACCGGCAAGUCUCUUUACUCGUUCCGUAAUGCAUCAUCCCGCAACUAACUCAUUAGUCACAUUGCUUGCAAGGCUUCAUAUGAUGUGCAUUACCGAGAGGGCCUAGAGAUACCUCUCUGAUACUCGGAGUGACAAAUCCUAACCUCGAUCUAUGCCAACCCAACAAACACCUUCGGAGAUACCUAUAGAGCAUCUUUAUAAUUACCCAGUUACGUUGUGACGUUUGAUAGCACACAAGGUAUUCCUCCGGUGUCCGGGAGUUGCAUAAUCUCAUAGUCGGAGGAAUAUGUAUUUGACAUAAAGAAAGCAGUAGAAAUAAAACUGAACAAUCAUUAUGCUAAGCUAAUGGAUGGGUCUUGUCCAUCACAUCAUUCUCCUAAUGAUGUGAUCCCGUUCAUCAAAUGGCAACACAUGUCCAUGGCUAGGAAACUGAACCAUCUUUGAUCAACUAGCUAGUCAAGUAGAGGCAUACUAGCUUCCGUUAAUACAAUUCUAGCAUGAAUAAUAAACAUUUAUCAUGAAUAAAAAAAUAUAAAAUAAGAACUUUAUUAUUGCCUCUAGGGCAUAUUUCCUUCAGUCUCUCACUUGCAUUAGAGUUAAUAAUCUAGAUUACAUUGUAAUGAAUCUAACACCAUGGAGUCUUUGUGUUUAUCAUGUUUUGCUCGCGGAAGAGGCUUAGUCAACGGGUCUGCCAUAUUCAGAUCCGUAUGUAUUUUAUAAAUCUCUAUGUCUCCCUCCUUGAUCAAAUCUCGGAUGGAGUCGAAGCGUCUCUUGAUGUGUUUACUCUUUUGUGAAAUCCGGAUUCCUUUUUCAAGGCAAUUGCUUCAGUAUUGUCACAAAAAAAAUUCAUUGGACCAGAUGCACUAGGCUAUACACCUAGAUCGGAUAUGAACUCCUUCAUCCGGACUCCUUAAUUUGCUGCUUCCGAAGCAGCUAUGUACACCGCUUCACACGUAGAUCCCGUCACGACACUCUGCUUGGAACUGCACCAACUGACAGCUCCACCAUUCAAUAAAAAUACGUAUCCGGUUUGUGACUUAGAGUCAUCCGGAUCAGUGUCAAAGCUAGCGUCGACGUAACCACUUACAACAAGCUCUUUGUCACCUCCAUAAACGAGAAACAUUUGUGUCUAGAGUUGUGUUGUGGUAUCUUCCCAUGAGUCCUUGAUCUUGAUCGUACACAUUUCGUGUAUGAUUAGUGUACAAUUGAAUCGAGGGCGUCACAAUUACUUCUAUCAAAAUUGGAGAUUCCAAGUUUAUGGAAGGAUAGUUCUCUAACCGCAGGCGUGUAGGGAGUCAGAUUAGCUAUUUGUGGUUGUAGAUGCUUUGAGACCGGUUUAAGGCGUCUGUUUGAGUAGCUUACUUUUGACGGUCAAUGAUCGGGCCGUCCGCUCAGAUGUUUGAGGGUCUGUGAGGCCGACUGUAAAUACUCUUAAAUGAAACUCUUUAAAAGACGAAAUACACGCUAACCAAGCUGUGGUUGGACGGUUAGAUGGACAGUGGUAUCUCAGCCUACCAUGGUUCAAGUUCCGGUGCUCGCAUUUAUGUGCCGGCUUAGUCUAUUUCAGAGGUGCUCAUAGAGGUAGGGUGUGUGUACGUGUUUAUAGGGAUGAGUGUAUGCGUGUAUAUAUGAGGAAUUGUGUUUCUAUUGUGUUAAAAAAGACGAAAUACAUACCAUGAUUUGAGCACGACUAUGUUCAUGCCUUUACCCUUUUCAAAUUCGGCACGGUGGACCAAAAGUGGCCUAUGCUGGGCAGUGUCGUGAACGAGUGGGUGCAUCACUCACAUGGUAGAACAGUGAAGUACACCAGUGCCAGUACAUUUGCCCAUGUGAUUCCUCUUUUCUCUCCGCCCGCAGACUCGUAUCUGAACCCUCGGAAAUGUCCAAAUUGCUGCAACACGGAGUUCCUCAAGAUUCCUCAGUAUUGCUAGUGCUCUCUUGGAGCCGGCUCCUCUGACAUGUAUUCCCUUCGUCCCAUAAUAUAAAAAUGUUUUUUACACUAAUAAGAAGCACAAUAUUUCUCCGUGUAAAAAAAAACAAAGGCAAGUCGGAGAGAUUAUGCAGGCGCUGUAGAUAGUUAUUGUUGGAGUAUUACCUGACCAAGGAUAUCUGAGAUUGCAACUGGUAAUAAGUUUGGCCACGGAACACCAGAAGCUGUCCAGUGUUAGGAGCGAGGGGUUGAGGAUAAUAAGAAGUCGGGCGAAAAAGCAAAGGACGUGUGUCGACGUGAUGCUGGGCCAGGGUAAAAAAAAGUGUAGCGCAUGGAGAGCGGGGGUGACUGGCCGGAAGUUCAGCCGGGCAGCCGAUUGUAAAUCGUUUACCUUGUACCAGGGUAAAUCGUUUACCUUAGUAGUACUGGUUAAUUUUCGUAGUUCCGAUAAGUAUUAAUCCAUGCUGAGCUCGAUUAACCAGUACAGUACUAAUGUGUUUGUAUUACUCUAGCAGCCUCGAGUCAAGUCAUGUCAACUUUGUAUAUUACCCACACCCCGACCUACCAACCGGAAUUGCUGCAAGGAGAACAGACCACCAUUCACUCAGCGCCUUUCUCUCGUCAUCGAUCUAUCGACGUCUUCCUCUCUCUCUCUCUCGGGGCAACUAGUAUAGAAAAGCAACUUCAUGUGCAAGAAUAGAAAAAAAAAAUCUGAGCCAUUGGAUGGGAGAUGAAUGGCACAGAUCAUGGUGGAGGGGACUGUUCCCACUUAAUGUACAUUUGACGAAACACCCCCUAGAAAUAGAUAGAUAUGAACCAUCACUUUUGCAGUAACAACCUCAUGUCCCUCGUCCAUUUCCAAAUCUGCAGAAUGUUGAUGCCAACCCUUUCAAGCAUGUCAAUAUUCCAUUAUAUGUGAAAAUUAAGUCACCCCCUUGACGCACAACUAAAUGUAUAUGUCAUACUGGAUCAUCCAAAAUAGAACUACUAUUUUAUACGGAUUAUGCAACAUAAAAUUAAAGUCAACAUUAAGCUUAUCUAGUAAUACGCACCCACAUCUGAAUAGGCUGGUCAAAAUCUAUGUGAGCAAGGUAUUCCAUUUCUGGGUCCACUUUGAUCCACAUACAGUGAUACAUAACAUGAGAUGAUUAUUUUUAUUACAUGACCAGCAAAACUGAAUAUUAAGUGCUACUAAAAUGAUCACCGCUCAACGAGCAUUCUAAUUAAACUGUACUAGCUUUAUUUUUUAGAUCGUACACGUACAUGACAGAAUAUUAUUCAGUUGAACUUUGCCUCCAGCUCUAAUGCUUGUCGCUCAUCGAGCUUCAUUUGCAGGGUUAGAUAACACCAAAAGAAUAUGAUUCAGUUCAACACAGGAACUAAAAUUAUCUUGCGGGCAAAUGAGCUUCGCCCUUGCUGUCGUAAACAAGAGAAGCCUUUGCUAAACACUUCUUCUGUCCAUAUGAACUUUCGAUGCUUCUGUUGACAGAGCAUUACACAUCUACAAAAACAUUAACAAGUUUAUAGUUCACAUCAGAAGGCAAGACAUUGGAAAUAAUUAUGUUCUUUGGUGGACUAAAUGAUUGUAAGGGAAACAACAAAGCACACGCGAAUAUAAUGAAGUUCGUCUUGAGCUUCAUUUGCAUCACGAGCCAAAUGGUGAGCUCUAGAUCAGCUCGCAAGCUUAGGGAUGAGGGAUGAGCUGAAGCUCAAGCUUGACUCAUCGGAGGCUUGACGAGCUCGCAAAACCUGAUAUUGUUUUAUUUACAAAAUUCGACCAACACAUUACACAUGUGAUUGAGCUUACAUUAAAAUUCGACAAGCACAUACUAUUCUAACUUUCAUGCAUUUGUACUGAAAUUAACUUGAUUGAGUCUCUGUUAAAUCAGAUAACUCAAAACUUCUUUGAAAACAAAUAUUGUGCUUAAACUUUUCAUGCAGAACAGCAGAUUUUGUAAUAUUAAACAGCUUACAUGUAAAAAAAGACCCGGAUGGGCACACUCAGAGAGUACACAAGCAUAAAAAUACAAUCUUGUAACACAACCGAGCAUGCAAAUAGCUUUAGAAAAGAACUGCAGGUGAAAAAGUCUUUCCGGUGUAAGAGAAACCUAACUUUGAUUCAGCUUCAAGUGUAGCAUUGAUGCUUCCCUCUGCUACUUUAAUUGACCAUGCUUUCAAUCGACUUGGAUUCCAAUCUGCAGGGCGAAAGACUUCAAUGAGCAACCAUUGAGAGAUCAAGAACAUAAAAGAACAACGCUGCACUCAUUUAGUAUUCAUAUAUACUGCAUAUAGAAUGGCAUUUACAGCAGAAUACUAGCAAUGAACAUUUACAACAGAAUACUACAAAAAUAUAAAGAUUUUGGGAUUGGAUUGGGUCCAAAAUUUGGCAUGAGACAAAAACUUGACACUUGAUUUGCCAAAUACUGGCAACUUUUGAUAGUGCCAAAAUUGGUAUAUACAUAAUCUUAUAGGCACUAAGUCACUAAAGGGUUCACUCUCCCCCCUAAACCAUUCAAACCCCUUGCGCUGCAUACUUUAUAAUACAGAUAGCACAACCUUAGCAUGUUUUCAGAAUCAAUGUAACCAAAGCAUCAACAGAUUAAUGAUCUACAAGCUAAAACAUGGCAUCAUUUGACUUCAGGUUCUGGUUAGCAUCAGGCAUCAGCUAUCUAAGCAUGCACUCUCUUCCUGUUUUCAUGGAUGGUUAUCAAUGAAUUUUAUUGGUUCUCGUAUUAAUCUAGGAACACUCUGUAAAUAGCAUGAGGCAUCCAAAGCAGAAUCCAGAUCUAUAAAUCACAUGCCAAUAUAUGACGAUAAUACCACAUGUGAUUGCCGUCACCGCGUAAUCCAACUGAUAUUUCAGUGAUUUCAGAUGGUACCCCAUUAGUGUCCUGUGUGCAAUUGCUCUGAUUUAAUGUCUCCAUGAACCGCAUCAUUAAGGCCCAGCCUUCUUCUCGGUCCCUCAUCUGCCCUCGCAGAUCUUUGACGAAUGCGCAUACAUAAAUCUAUAUGGGAGAGGGGGAAUGGGAGGAUCGUAAUAUACCUUGAUGCUGAGCGUGAGAGGCGAAGGAGAAGCCCACCACCGGCGUGCCGCCGGCGAGCUAGGACCUUGAGAGGGGACGGAGGCACGGAUCACACUGACGAGCUGCUCCUGGGCCUGAGAGGGGAAGGGGUGAGUAGCCCACCAUCGGCUGCUGCUGGAAGGGGGCGAGCUGCUGCUGUUGCCGGAGAUGAGGAGGAUGCGGAUCUCGGCCGUCGCUACUCCCCCGCUACCGUCCGCAAGCGGGUGGGAGAUGGGCGAGGGUGACUCGCGGUUGCGUUCGGAGGAGGAUAUCGGGAGCAAAUUAAUCAGAAUCGAGGGUCCUUAUUGCUAACUGUCCGCAUAGAUCCCACCACGAUAAUCUGUACCACUCAUCCCAAUUUGGACGACCCAGAUCUAUUUUUCUAUUUUUUCACCUGAAGCUCUUCUUUUAUUCUAGUCGUUCCCCUCUCAAGGUUAGUUAGUGCUAUCGAUUUAUGCAGAUAUGUUGAAGCUGUCGAUCCGUGGUUUGGUAAACUGAGAAGCUGUAUUGUUAAUUCAUAGUCUCUGGCUGCUCACUCCUAGUUGCACUUGAAUGGAAUACACGUUAUAAAAUAAUUAGAGGCAUCUGUGAAGGUUUGCAUCAUCUGCACAACGAAAAGAAGACAUAUCAUAUGGAUCUGAAACCCGACAAUAUACUACUAGACAACGAUAUGGUGCCUAAAAUCACAGAUUUUGGUUUAUUGAGAGUUGAUGAGAAGUCAAAAACCAUGAGUGAAGAACGUCAUGGAU